Molecule: non-coding RNA, 1308 nt
Organism: Phasianus colchicus (ring-necked pheasant)
Lineage: Eukaryota; Metazoa; Chordata; Aves; Galliformes; Phasianidae
Source: RefSeq, a predicted model, not a curated record
UGCUGCUAUGUGGAGGGAUUGUUCUCUGCUUACAGGCUUUUGGAGGCAACUUGGAGGGCUUCCAGUCAUCAGGGCCAAAGUCUCACUGGCACUGCCCUACUGGCAUGUCCCUGGUGGAACUAAGCUGCAGGUUGCUGCAUAUCAAAUGGGGAUGAUCCAGCUCAGGUGAAUUCAUGCUUUUCCAAGAUGGACGUUCCAUCAGGAAGAUGAGGUAUUCUCACUCUACAUCUUUAAAACUGGUGUUGUUGGAAGAUCAGUGUUGUUCUUUGUGUUGUUUUUCCUGAACUCUGUGCUCCCCAAACUACUGUGAAAGCAAUGAAUAUAUUCCCAUGGCAACAGAAGCACAGAGCCUGGGAACUGAUCUCAGCAGGGCUCCUCCUCUGGCAAUCCCCAGCUGGUGUAAAUCGAGCAUUUCUCGUGCUGGCACAGGUAGAUGCUGAGGAAGGCAUCAUUUUGGGUUUGAGUUUCAGGAAGCAGUAUACACAGUCCUAAUGAGCCAUAUCUCAUUCUGUCUCUAAUUUGCUAAGUCUGUAAAAUUGUAAGUGCUGUAAAAUAGAUGGAAGGGGGAGAGUGGCGAGGAAUGCUUUUGUGUUUUCUUCAUCUACCUGUACAUGGGGAAAACCCAGGACCAGAAUGACAUGGGUGCAGCAUGCAGGUUGAACAGCCUGCAGCCAGACUCAUCUUGUGAGCAGUGUCAUGAUGCUGGUGGAAAACUUCGCAUAAAGGAGAAAGCCAGCUCAGGAGCAGGGCCAGGGGAAAGCCCCUGGUUGCUUGCAAGAGCCACUUAGCCUGGAGUGACAAAGCAUGUUGGAUCUCAUUCUUGUCUCGUUGCCUGUGGGGUAGAGGCUGUGUUUGGGCAGUCCUCCAGCUAGUGCAUGUGCAAUGGGGGCCCACUUGCUGCAGCCCCAUGGGGUGGGGGCUUGCACCUGCAGAAGGGUGCCAGCAGCAAAAACCCACUGUAUUAUCCCUAUUGUUAGCUUUGCUUCCCUAACCUUUGUUCAGUGUCUGUUUCAUUCUGGAAGCACAUUAAGCCCCUCCAUCAGUAGAGGUUUGCUAGGAAGAUGAUGGAUUCCCAUGGAACUGAGAUCCAGGUAUAGCCAGAGAGUACAACCAGAACACCUCUAACCAAGUCCUGCCACCUUUCUCCUCCUCUGUGGCAGCUUACACUGUGCUCAUCAGGAGAGGGGAAGCUGGUGGAGAAAAUGUUGGGAAACUUCUAGAGGUGCUAAUUAAGCAACUUUAGGUUAUAAACAUCUUUAAUUGGACUAAUUUUUGGUGUCACAUAUUGCCUCUUGAUGAGAAGAGUCC